GGGGGCGAUUGGUGUCGACAGGGAAGCGGUUGGCUUAAGUUGCGAGCCGAGGCGCCGCUGGCCUCGUAAAAAGCGGCAAAACAAUAAACGCGAAUACAAAUUACGCACUCGCUGCUUAAUUAAGCGGCCAUCCGACCGUCCUCAGCCGGUGUGGGCGGACCCGGGUGUAACCUUAACCGGCUAGCUCGACAUUUUAAGUCCGGCAACUGUCGAGGACCACCUUACGGACUGGGGCCGAUAGAUCUCGCCCGCAGGAGCUUAAGGCCCGAGAUUAAAGUGCGGGAUACGCUCGUAGACGCUUUUGUUCACCCUUCUUUGGACCCGGGUUCGAGUCCCGGCGCCUCCACCA
RNAcentral lists this transfer-messenger RNA (349 nucleotides) under Armatimonadota. RNAcentral's name for it is "g DTKD01 X2 Standard tmRNA". It matches the Rfam family "transfer-messenger RNA". Rfam says of the family: Bacterial tmRNA, also known as 10Sa RNA or SsrA, is named for its dual tRNA and mRNA-like properties. Its role is to liberate the mRNA from a stalled ribosome. To accomplish this part of the tmRNA is used as a reading frame that ends in a translation stop signal. The record is from RNAcentral. Lineage: Bacteria; Bacillati. RNAcentral also lists the same sequence under 1 other name.